RNAcentral lists this ribosomal RNA (122 nucleotides) under Haloprofundus sp. MHR1. Lineage: Archaea; Methanobacteriati; Methanobacteriota; Halobacteria; Halobacteriales; Haloferacaceae. The record is from RNAcentral.
UAAGGCGGCCACAGCGGUGAGGUAACACCCGUACCCAUCCCGAACACGGAAGUUAAGCUCACCAGCGUGAACGCAACUACUGGAGUGCGCGAGCCUCUGGAAACACGUUCUCGCCGCCUACC